Molecule: ribosomal RNA, 451 nt
Filed under: uncultured bacterium
Lineage: Bacteria
Description: partial 16S ribosomal RNA
Rfam family: Bacterial small subunit ribosomal RNA
Source: RNAcentral
GAUGAACGCUGGCGGCGUGCCUAACACAUGCAAGUCGAGCGGCAGCGAGGGGUGCUUGCACCCUGUCGGCGAGCGGCGGACGGCUGAGUAACGCGUGGGAACGUGCCCCAAAGUGAGGAAUAACUGCCCGAAAGGGUAGCUAAUACCGCAUAUUAUCUUCGGAUCAAAGGAUUUAUCCGCUUUGGGAGCGGCUCGCGUCGGAUUAGGUAGUUGGUGAGGUAAUGGCUCACCAAGCCGACGAUCCGUAGCUGGUCUGAGAGGAUGACCAGCCAGACUGGAACUGAGACACGGUCCAGACUCCUACGGGAGGCAGCCGUGAGGAAUCUUCCACAAUGGGCGAAAGCCUGAUGGAGCAACGCCGCGUGCAGGACGAAGGCCUUCGGGUUGUAAACUGCUUUUAUAAGUGAGGAAUAUGACGGUAACUUAUGAAUAAGGAUCGGCUAACUACGUG